Molecule: ribosomal RNA, 344 nt
Filed under: uncultured Coriobacteriales bacterium
Lineage: Bacteria; Bacillati; Actinomycetota; Coriobacteriia; Coriobacteriales
Description: partial 16S ribosomal RNA
Source: RNAcentral
GGAGUCUGGGCCGUGUCUCAGUCCCAAUGUGGCCGAUCACCCUCUCAGGUCGGCUACUGAUCGUUGACUUGGUGGGCCGUUACCUCACCAACUAUCUAAUCAGACGCGAACUCACCCUAUACUGGAUUGCUCCUUUCACCCCUGCACCAUGCGGUGCUGUGGUCCUACGCGGUAUUAGCACAUCUUUCGAUGCGUUAUCCCCCUGUAUAGGACAGAUUAUUCACGCGUUACUCACCCGUCCGCCACUCGAAUCAUCCAAUAGCAAGCUACCAAAUGACCCUCGUUCGACUUGCAUGUGUUAAGCACGCCGCCAGCGUUCGUCCUCGAGCCAUGAUCAAACUACU